GAAGCAAAAUUACACCAUGAGUUCCUAUUAACGUCAGCCUCUUUUGUACUCAUAAUGUGGCUUCGGAUGUUUGAUGGGCGUUGCUUCAGUGCGUACGGCUCAUGGUAGAUUAAUUAUUAGAAAGAUGUAUCUCCAGCUGUUGAUAUUAGAGGGGGAAGCCUUUCUCUUUCACCUCGCCUUUUUAAACACCUGAUACAGUUGGUCAUGAUUCGUUCUACAUUUUAA
This is a small nucleolar RNA of Saccharomyces cerevisiae S288C, 225 nucleotides long. The record is from Ensembl. NCBI's taxonomy places the organism in Eukaryota, Fungi, Ascomycota, Saccharomycetes, Saccharomycetales, Saccharomycetaceae.